AACGAACGCUGGCGGCAUGCCUAACACAUGCCAGUCGAACGAGACCUUCGGGUCUAGUGGCGCACGGGUGCGUAACGCGUGGGAACCUGCCCUUAGGUUCGGAAUAACUCCCCGAAAGGGGUGCUAAUACCGGAUAAUGUCUUCGGACCAAAGAUUUAUCGCCUUUGGAUGGGCCCGCGUUGGCUUAGCUAGUUGGUAGGGUAAAAGCCUACCAAGGCGACGAUCCAUAGCUGGUCUGAGAGGAUGAUCAGCCACACUGGGACUGAGACACGGCCCAGACUCCUACGGGAGGCAGCAGUGGGGAAUAUUGGACAAUGGGCGAAAGCCUGAUCCAGCAAUGCCGCGUGAGUGAUGAAGGCCUGAGGGUUGUAAAGCUCUUUUACCCGGGAUGAUAAUGACAGUACCGGGAGAAUAAGCUCCGGCUAACUCCGUG
This 433-nucleotide ribosomal RNA is filed under the name uncultured bacterium. Its description in RNAcentral is "partial 16S ribosomal RNA". It matches the Rfam family "Bacterial small subunit ribosomal RNA", at positions 29 to 507 of the family's 1533-position model. The record is from RNAcentral.